This 253-nucleotide ribosomal RNA is filed under the name uncultured bacterium. RNAcentral describes it as "partial 16S ribosomal RNA". It matches the Rfam family "Bacterial small subunit ribosomal RNA", at positions 524 to 776 of the family's 1533-position model. The record is from RNAcentral.
GACGAAGGGGGCAAGCGUUGUUCGGAAUUACUGGGCGUAAAGCGAGUGUAGGUGGUUGUCGUAGUCAGGCGUGAAAGCCUUGAGCUCAACUCAAGAAAUGCGCUUGAUACUGGGCAGCUAGAGGACCGGAGAGGAUAGUGGAAUUCCCAGUGUAGUGGUGAAAUACGUAGAGAUUGGGAAGAACACCAGUGGCGAAGGCGGCUAUCUGGACGGUUUCUGACACUAAGACUCGAAAGCGUGGGGAGCAAACAGG